Molecule: ribosomal RNA, 253 nt
Filed under: uncultured bacterium
Lineage: Bacteria
Description: partial 16S ribosomal RNA
Rfam family: Bacterial small subunit ribosomal RNA
Source: RNAcentral
UACGUAGGGUGCGAGCGUUAAUCGGAAUUACUGGGCGUAAAGCGUGCGUAGACGGUUAUGUAAGUCAGGUGUGAAAGCCCCGGGCUCAACCUGGGAAUUGCAUUUGAGACUGCAUAGCUAGGGUGCGGAAGAGGGAAGCGGAAUUUCCGGUGUAGCGGUGAAAUGCGUAGAUAUCGGGAGGAACACCAGUGGCGAAGGCGACUACCUGGCCUGUUCUUGACGCUGAGGCGCGAAAGCUAGGGGAGCAAACGGG